RNAcentral lists this microRNA precursor (60 nucleotides) under Octopus vulgaris (common octopus). RNAcentral describes it as "Ovu-Mir-12523_pre stem-loop". Lineage: Eukaryota; Metazoa; Mollusca; Cephalopoda; Octopoda; Octopodidae. The record is from RNAcentral. RNAcentral also lists the same sequence under 1 other name.
AGUGGCAUUUAAUGUUCUCUACGUAACAUUAGCAACGACGAGAACAGUAGAUGUCAUUGA